CACAUGUCAUCGCUUUAAUACUGUGUAAUACUUUCUUUUAAAAUACAGUCUCUUCUGAGGUAGACAGACCACAACUGCAGAGCAUCGUCAGACAGGAGAUAAAUACGUCCAUGUACAACACGCAGCAAAAUGAGGUAGAAAUGGUUACAGCGGGAGGAGAGGAUCCCAGCCCCAGUCUGGGUAGAGGAAGGGGAGAGGCCAGCUCGGAAGUCACCCUCCCCACUCCCUGCCCCUGGAUUCUUUGGUAUGCCUCCCCCCAGCAUUACCAGAGCUGGACUGGCCCUUCCCCUACCUGCCCCAGAGCCCAUGAGGUAGGUGCCACUAGGCUGGGGGCAGUCUCCUUGUGCAAAGCUCCCCAAGCCUGGGGAACAGGAGGAGCCUAGUAGAGAAAGCGGUGGGGACUCCACCUCCCAGAGCUCCCUGCCUCUUGAAGGGAAGGCUGGGAUCCCACCCCAACUUCCCUGACACCCUCCACCCACCCCCACCCCCCAAUACAUACACACCUGAGAGAGAACCCCUCACUCCAUGCUCCCUCCGAGGGUCUUUUGCAGCCUGCGGCUGUGACCCGGCAGCCCACUGCUUCUGAGGCACCAAAGCCCUGUGGGUGGCUGGCUCCAAAGAGGGGGCCAGAAAGCAACGGGGGUGGGGGGGAACAGAGCAGCCUUCUGGUCAGCACUCCUAGGCCAGCACAGGCCCUGGGUGCCAGGGCCCCUGAAAGAUCCCCCCCAGACACCCUCCCAGCCAGGGGGGAGGCAGUAGACUCUAGGAAAUGCACGGGCAGGCAAGGAACUGCACAGGAGGCUGAGAUGGGAGAGAGAAAAAGUGGUGGUGGGGGGGCGUGUCCCCUGCUUUGGACUAAGAUCAGAGUUGUGAAAUGGGCUGGGGGUGGUGGGAGCAAACUGCUAAAGCCUCAUCAAGGGAAAAUUGGUGGGAAGGAGAGAAAUAUGGUUCUUGGAAGGGUUCCAAGCCUAGUGGAAAGUUCAGGCAGGACUGAGACUAAGCCCCCAAGGUCAGAGAAAACACCCCUGCCCAUCUCCCUCACCCUCUCCCAGCCCUGGAGCUCCAGACCUAGGACUCCGGGGGAAUGGGGAAGGCACAUUUCCUCACAGAGCCCCCACAAGUGAGGGAUGCUCACUCCUCCUCAGAGCCUCCAGCAGAGAUGGCUGAGGUCCAGUAGCUGAUUUUGUGGCCAGACUGUCUACCCAGAUGGAAUCCUCCUAGCAUAAGUCACUGGGGACCUCUGCCAAGGCAGGGCCAGGGGACAUGACCUUUCUGGAGACUUUCUGCUUAGGUCACCUUCCCAUUUGGGCCCUCCCACCCUACCUUCUGGGUCUCAGGAAGGAAUUGGGCAAGGGCAUCCUAACUCUGGAUAGCCCUUCACAGAAAACACUCAGCGGAGGGGUUGGGUGGGGCAGGGGGUGGGGAGCAGCAGGAGAGGAAUAAGGCCUCCCUUCUCUCAAACCCCACAGCCCACUCCCCACAUUCAUGCCUAGGCCUCGGCCCUGGGGAGGAAGCCCUUAGGAAUACAUUCUGCUUCUGACCAGGAAUAGCUGGGGUUUCACUGAGGCCUCUGGGUCUUCCUCUCCCCUUCCCCGUAAGUCUCAUUUUUUGAGUGUCUGGGAGAAUUUGGUCCCCUGGAUGGAGUGGGGGGGAGGGGGCAGGUGUGAGGGGCACACAGGAGAGCAGCCAAAGUCUAACAUUCUUUCUGAGGUCAGUUUCUUCCUGAGUUGUCAAAAGAAAAAGAAAAACAGCAAAUUCUACACAUUUUACAAAAAUAAGAAGACUAAAAUAUGAAACAAGCUACAUUUCUGGGAUCUCCCCUCAAAAACAAACAAAAAAUUCCCCUUCUUUGGGGACUUUUUUUCCUUGAUCCCCCUAGACCCUAGGUUUCAGAUGGGUAGAGGGGGAUGGAGAGCUGGGGAGGGAGGGGCAGGAGAGAAACAGGGCCAGCAUGGGGUGGGCAGGGGUGUCAGCGACAAAGCAAAAGGGAGAGAAAACCAAGAGAAUGCAGAGAAUGGGAUGGAGAGAGUGAGGGAGAAGGAGGGUGCCAUUCAGAUAGCGAGGAGACAAAAGCGUUGUGGCAAGAGAGCAGGA
Homo sapiens (human) is the source of this 2094-nucleotide long non-coding RNA. The record is from Ensembl. Lineage: Eukaryota; Metazoa; Chordata; Mammalia; Primates; Hominidae.